UUCUGGGUGUCAGAGCAGUAAACAAUAUUUAUCUUCAUUCAUAACAUGACAUAAUAACUGCAUAUGUUCACAUACUAACUCUACAGACAGUAGAACAACAGUUGGACUUACACUUUUUUGCUUGGGCUUUUUUCCCUCUGACUCACCUGCCAUGGCUGCUGUCAACUUCAGGUCCCUUUUCCAACUGAAUCCUUCAACAACAA
Long non-coding RNA from Labrus mixtus (cuckoo wrasse), 203 nucleotides. RefSeq lists it as uncharacterized. Lineage: Eukaryota; Metazoa; Chordata; Actinopteri; Labriformes; Labridae. The record is from RefSeq and is a predicted model, not a curated record. The transcript has 2 exons.